Long non-coding RNA from Mastomys coucha (southern multimammate mouse), 1618 nucleotides. RefSeq lists it as uncharacterized. The transcript has 2 exons. Lineage: Eukaryota; Metazoa; Chordata; Mammalia; Rodentia; Muridae. The record is from RefSeq and is a predicted model, not a curated record.
AUCUUGUCCUCCAUGCAGAGGAAGGUGUAGAUGGAUAUAUAUUUGAGGAAAACACUAAAACUUAGACUAUUGCAUUGUACCCUCUUAGAAGACUUCUAAGACUGCUGUCAUGCUUACCACAGACAUUCAGAUGAUGUGUAUUCUAGACUGUAUUUUCAAUUUUGGAUCUCAUGAAGGAACUGCUGCCUGACACAACACCACAUUCACUACAGUGGACAGAUGCUCUAGUCUCUGAUGUGGAGCUGCUACCUGAGAAGGCAGUACCUGGAAUGUUCAUCACUGCAUGAGGUAGGCUGGGACUUUGAUCUCAUGUCAAAGAAAGAGUAUGAUAAUUUAAACUCUACCCACCCAAACAUGCUGCUUUACCUCUCUGAAGGGCAUUCAGAUUUCCAAUUUCUCCCAAGGAGGCCCUCAUGUAUUUCCCCUCUGACCCUUGGAGUCUUGUAUAUUUUACAUGGCUCUUAGGGUCUCAUUCCUUCCCCAUGCCCCUCUCCUCUCACCUCUGACCAGUAUUCAUAUAUCUCUGAUUAGUGUUGGGGACAAUCUCUAUAUGACAACGAGUCCAUCAAUAGUGCCUACAUGCUAUUUCUGAAUAAUUGGAUCUUCAAACUCCAAACUUCAAACCCUCUUGCCAAGGGUAGUUCAGACAUUACUUUCUCAUUACAUGGUGUCUCUAUACUAGCAUCUUUAUUUAACAGGCCUCUGGUUUUACCUUCUGGCCAAGCAGGUCUCCAACUUUGCUCCAAGAGAAGUCACAUUUACACAUUGUAGACAAAGAGGCUUUGGACAUUCUCCUGCUCAUCAUUAUGACAUUCCUCUCCUCAGGUUUGAGGUCUCCAGAGCAGGAAGGAGAUCCUGGAUUCGCACUCAUCUUCAUGGCAUUCUUCAUCAAUGGAGUGGUCCCAACCUUAGUAUCCAGACACGGAUGGUUGAACACAAACCUGCCAGGCUGACAAAGCACUAGACACCCAUCCACAUCCUUAGAACUGUGUUCAGAUUGCUGGUCAUCCUGAAGGUGCCACAGAUGACAUGGUUACUAUUGCUUCUCGUUGUUCUUCUUUUCUUGGUGUUAUUUUCUUUUAAGUUUAGAAGAGGACAUCUUGUUAUUUUGUUGUUAUGUUAGUCAUCUACUGGCAUUAAAAUCUAACAAGUCACUGCUUAAAAGUUACACAUUUUCUACUCUUUUUGAAAAUCACAAUGUAUGCUUAUCUUUUUUCCUGUUGCUUCAAAGACAUACGACUAUGAAAUUCUACUUUACAAAUGUAAUCAUUUUGACUAAUAUUCACUUGAAUAUAUAUUCUAUGUACAAAACUGCUUCCUGUGCUGUAUUGUUUUUCACUGGAUGACAGUUUCAUUCGGAGUUGUUUGGAAGAUGAUUUCUUACUGUUGUGUCUUAAAAAGAUCUAUCUUGGAGCUGAGGGUGUAUAAUUGAAUAUCUCCAGCAACAUAAAAGCCUUCUGUAACAUUACUCUCUAGUAGAUUAUAAGUAUCAGUUAGUGUACAGUAGUAACUGAAGCAGUGAACAAGUAUGAGAAAGAGUUUUUAAGAUUUAAUAACUAAAAAUAGCCUAAAACAAAGGAAAGCCUAGUUAUUGAUCAAAUAUAUGCAUAUCAAAAGA